ACACGACACCCUCCCCUGGACUGUGAAACAAUCAUUGGCCCAAUAAAGGCUCUGAUAAGCUCUACAGUUAUAUUUUAAACCUUAAAGCAUGGGUUGAUGCUAUUUAACUCAGUAUUUUCCAAAGUUAUUUGAUCAGAGAACCAUCCUGUCCUCCUCCCUUUUUUUUUUUUUUUUUAAAUUUGAGGAGCAUCUCACUGGGGUACCGCACUGUCACUUAGGCUGGAGUGCAGUGGCAUGAUCACAGCUCACUGCAGCCUCGACCUUCUGGACUCAAGUGAUCCUCCUUCUUCAGCCUCUUGAGUAGCUGGGACCACAGGUCAGCAUUAAAUCCAGGACUACCUACUAAAAGGAACUGAACCUUUUCUACAUAUGGUUAUGCAUAGUACAGAUAGGUAUACGUGGAGGGGACUAAGAGCUUAAAUACAACAGGAAGUGGAGCCCACGACAUUUCUGUUCAGCAAUGGAGCAAGGAAGAAAUACAGUCAAGUGCCAGUGGUCUCUGCACGCUGCUCCAGGAAAGGGGGCUUGCCUGAGAUGCUCCACAAAUAAAAAUUGGGAAAAAUGCUGAAAUCUGGGGAAAAUUAAUGACAAAUUUUCUUAAAAAGGCCUGAGGGGCUCUCCCUGCCCGGGGGCAGUUCGGGGCCUUCCCCGAUUCUCUCCUACAAGAAUGCUGGCGAAAACCACAACUCGUUUCCUGUUUCCAAGGACAUAAAGGAAAUACCUUCAGUAAAAACUCUACUACCACUGAGCGCUUCAAGUCUUGCGGCAGAUGGGAAUUUACUCUGAGACAAGAGCAAGACAUGCUGGUUUCACCUGUACACAUUUACCAAAGUCAGCACAGGAGUAUGCUUAGGUCAUACCCAGCUUAUGACUCCAAGGCUAGAAUUGCCCACUGCAAGUGGUACAAAAUGGAUCAGGAGAGCCAAGCAGCUUGUCCUUGAAGCCACUCUCUGGGCUGUCAACUCUUGUUCUUAUUUGACCUUCAGGAACCUCUAAAAUGUGCAGUCCAUGAGAAUGGACUCUAAAUAUGAGGACAUUGAGGAUCAGAGAUGUUGAAAAACUUGCCCAAGGAUGCACAAGUGGAAUGGUAAAGACAGGAUUUGAAUUCUGACCUCUCUGACUCCGUGUCACAAACUCCUGAAAGAGUGAAAGGUGACUGUUGUCUCUUGGGCACAGGUAGCUGCCAACAGGUGAGCCUCUCAGGGGAUUGGUAGAGGUAGGAUGGCAAAUAGCUUCUUUAAUAUGACAGCCUCAGUGUAGUGGCUGGCAAGGAGCUGCGAUUGGGAGGAACUGGAAGUCACACCCAAGCUCAUUGAGCAAGCAUGCUGUGAGUGCCAUGAUAAAGUGAAGAGCUCAGGAGAAAGAUUGGAUCAAUUAUAGAAAAUAAUGAAGGUACAUUUUCUUUGCAUAACUAAAUGUAGGUACUAGAAUACCUGAGUUUUGGCUGGGCACAGAACUGUCUGGAAUACAGACUGCAAUUCCCAGCCUUCUGUGCAGUUCUGUGUGGCCAUGUGACUAAGUUGUGGUCAAUAUGAGUCACGGAAGAAUAGAAGAACAACUCAGAGGAGGAAGAAGUCAGACAUAGCCAGACACGGCUGCUAGCAGUUCCACCAAUGAAAGAGGAGACCAGGAUGUUUAAAACAGGCAAACACAAGGUGCGAAAAACCAGAAGCGAAAACUUCUGAGGUCAUUUAAGCAGGGACUAUCGUUAUCCCCGGAAGCAGAGAGAAGUUCAAUCCUUUGCCCAACAUCACACUGCAAGCAUGUGUUGGAGCUGAGAUUCAAACCCAGGCAUCCAGGGUCCAGGGCCCAUGCUCUUAAUAUAUUCCAUAUCUUAGGAGAAUUUCCCCUAUUUAAGCAAUAAAAGUGCAAAAAUCUUGUGGCUAGCCAAAA
Molecule: non-coding RNA, 1893 nt
Filed under: Pan troglodytes (chimpanzee)
Lineage: Eukaryota; Metazoa; Chordata; Mammalia; Primates; Hominidae
Source: RNAcentral